UAAGCCCUGCUGUGUUGGUGAGCCAGCUUAGUUUUGAGCCAUUACUGAGUUAGUUAAGGGAGUCUCCCUUCGCAGGCCCAGGUAAACCGGCCCUGGUAGUCGGGAACCAAAAAGUCUGCGAGCGAUUCCCGACCUGUAGAAAUACAGGUUCAAAACUCCUCGGCACCACGGCAUGAUGGGGACCUU
RNAcentral lists this non-coding RNA (186 nucleotides) under Candidatus Sericytochromatia bacterium. Its description in RNAcentral is "6S RNA". It matches the Rfam family "6S / SsrS RNA". From Rfam's summary of the family: E. coli 6S RNA was the first non coding RNA to be sequenced, but its function was unknown until recently. It consists of 184 nucleotides that fold into an extended hairpin structure with a large single-stranded internal bulge. The 6S RNA specifically associates with RNA polymerase holoenzyme containing the sigma70 specificity factor. The record is from RNAcentral. Lineage: Bacteria; Bacillati; Candidatus Sericytochromatia.